UUGUUUCUCAGAGGAGUGACAAUAUCCGUCGGACGGAUAUUCGGUGGAAUCCGGGGGAGCGGAGCCUACCGAAAGGAAUGACAUCAAUCAAUAUCAAGCAUAUGCAAUCAAGAUGAUGCAUGAGCAUGGCAUGAGAAUGCAAGGUGAUAUACUAUUAUAACUAACAUGUAUUAGGUUUGAAGUUGAUUUGAAUCAAAUUCAAAUAUCACUUCAAACGAGGUAUUCUCGGAUACCAUUUUAAUUGAUUCGACAUGAUGCUCAGAUCAACUUGAUGUUAACAUGCAUGGAAUGACAUGUUAGGUUGCUGGUUUGUAAUUAGGACAGUAUUUGAUCAUGUCAAUCAUAGUGAAAUUUAAAUAUUUUCCAUAUUCCAUUUAUAAAGUAUUUAUAAGAAUUGACUUAUUCAUUAAUCUACAUGUUUGGGUUCUCUAACAUUUUCAAACAUGUCUGAAAAUGGCAUAUUCAGAUUCCUUGGAUUUUUCUGAUACUUUUUCAUAUAUAAAUUAUUUUCAUUGGAGUUACAGAUUAAUUUCUAUGAAUUUUUGAAGUUUUAAAAAUUUCUGAAAUUAUUCUUAUACUGGAAAAUCCCUUUACUGCAUCAGCAUGACAUCAGCAGGUCCAACUGGCCGUUGAAAGUCAAACCUGACCAGUGGGACCCACUGGUCAGUGUCUCUCGUCAGUUUUAGAUUAAAAUUAAACUUAAUUAGCUAAUUAAUCUCACUGGACCCACAUGUCAGUGACUUAUCAAAUUAUUUGAUUUUAUUUUUAUUAUUUCUAAACUCCCAGAGGCUGGCCCCACAUGUCAGUGGCUCAGGCCAGCUGAGAUCCACCGGCGGUGAGGUCGUCCUCGUCGGCGGGGAGCCUCCGGCGAGCACCAGUACGUCGGAGGGGCUCAGAAACGGCGCACAGGGGGCCAAAGUCGGCGCGGAGAGCACGAGAGGAACGACACUUCUCCCGCGGGUUCAUUUUUGCACUUGGCUGGGGCUGAUCUGGCCGGAGAUGACGCCAGCGACGAGCUUGGCGGCGGCCAAGGUUCGGGCGUCAUCGGGGUCUUCGAUACAAAGGGAGUUACGCACGGGAAUUAGCUCCUACGGCAUCUACGCGGUGGCCUGAAGCUGCUGGUGGCCUCAGAAGGAUGAGCUGAUCACCGGAGGGCUACCGGCGACGAGCUCCCGCGGCAGAUCUCAUCGGGCUCCGAUGGAACUAGGCCUAGAGGAGGGGAUCGACGGGGAGAUCUUAGGGGAAAGAUGCGCAAGCUCACGAGGAGUGCAGUGGUGGCGCUAGCUUGCUCGGGGACGGCCUGGAGAGGAAGAACGCCGGCGACGAGCUUCGGUGACCCGAGGAAGAAGACGACCGCGUCUCGUCGUUCCACUGCGUCUCGGCGUCGGGCUCGUGGCUAGAGAGCUUCAGGGAGUUGCGGCGGACCUAUUGUGCGGCUCAGGAGGGAGAAGAGUAGGCUAGAAUGACGGCGAGCUCGAGCUCUGCUCGGGCUGCAAUGGCGGCAGAAAGAAACGAGGCGGAGGGGGAGAAUGAGCUGGGGAACGGAUAGCUACGAGCUCGGGGAGGUUAUCCCCGUUCUUGCCAGCGCGAAGCGGCGGCCAGGCAGCCAGGGAGCUGCGUGGAGGCGCGCGGCGACGCGGCGGCCACCUCCUGCGAGGAAGACGACAGGAGCAGAUGGGCCGGGCCAGGUCAGCGUCAGGUAAGGUUUUUUCUCAUUUUCUUUCUGAUUUGUUUCUGUUUUGCUAUUUCAUUAACUUGCUAUUUAUUUCAGCUCCCAAAUAGUUUGUAAAAGCUAUUUUAAACACACCAGAAUAUUUGUUGGAAUAUUUCCAACCAUUCCCAAAGUUUUCAAAAAAAUUGAAAGUUUAAAGUUUCUGAUUUCAAAUUUAAAACUUGAAACUAGUAGCUUUUUGCAUUUAUUUAAAAUGCUUAAAGUGUCAAGAAAAAGGUUUUCUUCAUUGCUUAUUACUUUCAUGAUUUAUCAGAAAGAUUGAACUUUUCUUGAGGCCGUUUUGGGUUCAUUGAUUUUAACUAGUUUGAAUUUCCUUUAAUUUGAGAAGUGGCUAGGGUUUGUUGAAUUUUCCUUCACCACUUACUUUGUUCUUGUUGAGAAUGUCCUAGAUGCAAUGCAAAGAAAACAUGAGCACAAAGCUAACUUGCUUAAGGGGUCAGGGAUGUGACAAAUUGGUUGCUCAAGUGCUUAGAUAUAGCCACCAAAAAUACUCAGCCACUUUCCCACAACAUAUAUGUGUACCAAAGGCAAAUAUGCAAAAUUGGUGCCACCAAUAUUUCCCACUCGGCCAUACCGAUUUUACACUUACACAGAUCCUAUGCCAAUCCCACCAUAUCGGUACAACCAACAUUCCUAUCAGUGCCACCAAGAUUGGGUGACCAACAUUCUGUUGAUAUAACUUCAAGUUUCAGAAUUUAUGAGUAGUCGAUCUCACCGAGUUUGGGAACCAGUCUAGGUCAUCAUAUUGGUACCACCGAGAUUCCUAUAUCGGUCUCACCGAGAAUUCAAAGUUGCCACAUUUACUUCAACUCGGUACCACCGAGAUUACCAUUUCGGUGUCACCAAGUUGGGUAAUAAUGUUGUAACGGUUGGAGUUUGGGGAUCCCUAUAUAUACCCCUCCACCUACCUCUCAUUCAUAGAGAAAGCACUCAGAACACACUUACACUUGGCAGAUCCAUUUUUCUAAGAGAGAGAGAGAGAGCCACCUAUUCAUGUGUUGAGAUCAAGAGAUUCCAUUCCAACUAUUUGAACCUUGAUUUCUAGCAUCCCAAGUUGCUUUCCACAAGAUCAGUAUCUCCUACCCUUGCCAAAUCUAAGAGAGAGUGAUCGAGUGUUAAGGAGACUAUCUUUAGAGGCACAAGAGCAAUGAGUUCAUCGUUCUACCACAUCUAUUACCUUUUAGAGGGCGGUGCCUCCUAGAUUGGAUAGGUGUUGCUUGGGAGCCUCCUACUUUGUGUUGUGGAGUUGAACCAAGAUGUUUGUAAGGGAAAGGAGAUCGCCUACUUUGUGAAGAUCUACCGUGAGUGAGGCUAGUCCCGUGUGGAUGGAAGCUGUGGUGGAAUAGACAAGGCCGCUUCUUCGUGGACCCCUUGUGGGNAGUCUCCACUAACAUGGAAGUACGAUAUCCCACCUAUCGGAACCAUGCCAAAAAUCGUCGUGUCAACCUUUGCGUUUGAUCUCCCUACCUUACCCUCUGUCUACACUUGCAUGUUUUACUUUACGCUGCAAUACUCUUAGAUAUGCAUGUCUAGGGUGUACUUGACUAGUCAUAAUUGAUAAAACUGGACCACACUAAAAAUUGGGAAAUGGCUAAGUUUUUAACUUGUCAAGUACUCUAAUCACCCCCUCUAGACAUACUUUCGAUCCUANNNNNNNNNNNNNNNNNNNNNNNNNNNNNNNNNNNNNNNNNNNNNNNNNNNNNNNNNNNNNNNNNNNNNNNNNNNNNNNNNNNNNNNNNNNNNNNNNNNNNNNNNNNNNNNNNNNNNNNNNNNNNNNNNNNNNNNNNNNNNNNNNNNNNNNNNNNNNNNNNNNNNNNNNNNNNNNNNNNNNNNNNNNNNNNNNNNNNNNNNAUUCCUUGCGGAUUCGCCUCUGAUCACCAACGAUCGAGCGACGAGCACGGCUGGUAGACUUCACCCGUCGUGCACCGAACUCGAGCUAUAAAACGACCAUGGCAUUCCUCUCUUCUUCCUCACACCCGACCUCGCUCCUACUUCUUCCUCCGUCUUAUUUUUUGCUUGUAGGAGCUCGAGGCAAGGCUCUAUUGGCAGACAAGCUUCUCGGGUGGCUUACGAUCAUCCUAGCUGGAGCGGCAGCGGCGCUGAUCGGGUUCUCGAUGUUGUACUGCAUGAUCAUCCAGGAUGACCGUCGUGAUGAUGCUGCUCGAGUGGUGGCUCUCCGUGGCAGCAGUGUCCAUGAUGACUAGGAAAAUGUGUAGCGUGCGAGUGGGUGCUAGUGUGUCGGCACCAACUCUAGAAAAAUAAAAUACCCACAAUGUUUCCUUUUGAAAAACUGUGGCGUGCUAGAGAGGUAAUCAGUUAGGUGCUAAAUGCGUGCGUGGUUCUGCACUUAGUGCAUGUGUCAUAGUGAGUGUGGUUAUGAUUCAGUUGGAUGUAUGUUUCCGGUGUGCCUUCACACACUUGGUCUUCUAGCCUCUUUGUAGAAUUCUUGCAUAGUUGAUGUUGUCGGCAGGGGAGUGGUGGUGAACUCUUGUUGUCUCUUCUUCGUUGUCAUGGCUUAUCAGCCGUGGUCGCUCUUCACCUAACUUGCGUAGGAUUGUCUUCUGUUGCUUGGAGGGUGCUUCGAGGAGUCCAUCUCUACCAGGGUAAAACCUUACACUUCUGAGGCAUCGCGAUCGAGGUUUCCGAGGGCUUAUCCAAACAGGACUAAGGUGAUUCUCACUUCUCUUGGAUAAAUAAGCUUGUCAUCCAUAGGACAACACCCUAUUUUUCCAACCAUCACACAAGAAUUAUGAUCGUGGAAUGUGUGAGAGGAGCAGGUACUUCUCCUGUGUGGUCCCUUGCCCAGGGGUUUAGUGGCGGUCGAGGGGGAGUAUUGGCUACAGUCCAAUGACUUAGAACCAAAACCUACAGUCACAAUCCAGCCAUUUUUUGGCUAGGUAAAGCUUCGGGGUUUUAAGGAACUUAGGAUGUGAGUGAAGAUCCAUCACCUUAUCCUUGAGCACACUUAGUUAGAUGCCAAUGGUCCUACCAAAUCCUCCAAACCGAAUCAUCUAAUGUCAUAAAAGGUACCAUGCCAUAUAGGUCAGCUCCAGCAUCACUAUGCUACUCAACCCCAAGGUUUGAGAGAAGGACUAAACCAAAACCACGUAAGUAUGCUAUAACUGGCUCAUGUGUAUCCCUAUGUAAGAAUCCUCGGGAAGCAUACAAGCUACUAAUCUUGGCGAAUAUAGUACAAUCCAAGUGCUUAUUAAAAUUAUCCAAGGUCUAAGGUACUAUAUUUCUAUGCUAAGGAAACAUGUAUUAUACCAAUCCAAGAUCUUGUUCCUCACUAAAAAUCCAAUUAAGAGGUUCAUCAAUACCAUCAAUCCUCACUGGACCUAUCACUCCUAUAAAUUGAAUAUCGAUGGGGUUCUACCUAAUCACCUAGAGUCCUUUUAUUAAUCCACCUAUCCUAGCAAGGACUAUACCACAGUAUAUCCACCAAUUUUCCAUACCAUGACCAAUCAAGCUGGUCACGCUUAUAUAGAUUCAUAAUUCAAUUCAACUACUCAAAUUAAUUCUACUAUCACUCACGGAGGCACAUGCUAUCAUGACCAAGAUCAUCGGACCACAUCUAAUUUACUCUGAACCAUGUGGUAUCAUUUAUCAUCGACACUCUAUUAGAAUUACCUAUUUAAAUCCAAUUCGCAUGGCCGACGAGAACUCCCACUUGCUUCUCCAUGUCAUUAAUAAGCCAUGACUGCUACUUGACAAAGUCAAUUUAUUAUAUCACCAAGAGUUUUAACUCGCAAUCAUAAUUUCCGUAUGUACCCAAACUUACUCCAGGAACAUGUAGGUAUUGAUACUAUAUCACCUUAUUAAACCAAGUUCACCUACCAACUUAAGGGUCUUACGACCCGCUAAGAGAACCUAGCUACAUCAGCGAGACACUUACUGUAGUCAUCUCAAAUCAUUUUCUGUGGGUCGUAUACCCUUUGAACAAUCCUUCCUAUGGCGUCAAGGUCGUGGGGCUAGCUUAAUAGUGAAGGAUAUUUGUUCACUCUGAUCACUUGUUCCAUAAUAAACCCAAUGCUAAGCAAGGGGGGUUAUCGGGACUCAACGGGUGCUGUGGUAAACCCGUGUAUUAAUCACACGAUCAAAGGUUUAAGCUAGGGAAUCUUGUGGGGUUUUAGGUUGGUCUAGAGAGGGGCUUCCAACCUUGAGGGAAAAGGACAAAGCUACGGGGUUACGUCUGGUUGAGCACGUCGUAGUCAGAGUCUUGAUUGUUAGUAGUCCGUCGAGGUGGAUCCUUGGUGCAUCUUGUCCUUCUCGCCUUCGUUUGUCGAGGAAGGUGAGAGAGAGAGAAAGGAAGCAUAGAGGGGAGUGCCUAAGGGGGCAGUAUAGUGCAAGUGCAAUCAAACAAGUGCCGAAAGUCCAAACACAAACACCAAGAUGAUGUAGGUGAUAUAGUCGUGUGCUUGCUGCCUGGGAAAAAGUGCGAGUUAUAUCAAGGCACAAACAACAAGAAACACACAAUAUGGAUCCACUCGAACCAUCACACGGACUCGGCUUCUCAUAGGGGAUACACAGCUCAUCCUAUCCUAAGGGUUCUCGGACUCAAUAGUCAUGCUUACUUCGUGUAUCAUUGGGGGAGUCCACUUAGUCUUCUAGGUCUUCUUUAGGUGUCGCGUGCCUCAUGUUGUUGUCCGUCGAGACGACUCAAGUUGAGCUGGAAAGAGUCCUUGACAAUUUCUCAUCUGGUGAGCUGUCGACGAGGGUGGCUCUUCAUGGUUGUCGUUGGACAAGGACUUCUGUUGUCUUUGUAAUCCCGCCGAUAUCUCCUUGUCUUCGAAGGUGUCGAGUGUUCCAAGUGGACAAUCCUUUAUGCAAUGACAUCAAGAGGGCAUGGUAGAGUUUUGUCGUGACAGUUAUGUUGCUGACAAUAUCGACUUCAAGAGCGAGGGACAAAGAGAACCGCUUUUCCUUCUCACUAUGGUGAGUUUGACCAAAUGGCGAGGUUCUCAUCCACCGGUGGUUGUCGACACAACAACGGUAACGACAGGGUCACUCUAUUUGCGAUGCAUAUCAUGAUCUUGCAUAUCUUAUGUCCUGAUCAUCGUAGUCCAAGGUUGUACCGCUCUGAGGCGGGGUCGAGGGUGUCACCAUCUUCUCAGUCUCGAUGUACUCAUUUGUCGAGAGAGUAGCUUCUUUUGGUGUCGUCUGGUCGUAGCGUUCCCAAUCUUGUCUUAGAAACAUGUGAGUGAUCUUUUGGCAAGGUUGUUUCCUUUCAAGUUACCCACCAAGAUUUCAAGGAAACUAGUGGUUAGGGUCAUAAGGGUUCUAGCUACCGUUUGCUGCUUUGAAAAGCAAGUGAGGAGCGUUGAAGGAACAAGGGUGGAAGUGCUAAGGUAAAAACCUUGGCUUGCAAUGAAGAUUUAGGAGAGGUGAGAAAUAUUUAGGUUUUGAAAAUGAUUGGAAGGGCCUGAAAAACAAAUGUGUCCUAACUAACGUCUGUGCUAACUAAGGGCUUCCUCCAGUCAGGAUGGCUCGGAUACCAGCUCUGUGGGGACCCCGACUUGUAAGUCGAGAUCGUCGAAUGCACGUGUGCAGUGAUCCCAGAGAUCAAUGCUCACGGAACACACAUAAACUGGAUAACAAGUGUCUUGCAUCCAUACAUACCGCUUAUCUCGGAUAUGGCCGUUAUGGCCAAGUCUUCAUAUACACUCCAACGGAAAUCUUCAAGGAUAGUGUGAAUCCAUGCCACUUGUCUUAGCCCGACAUGCAUUCUGGAUGGGAAGCGUCCUAGCUCGCAGGAACGUCAGCAAGGUAUUCUUCACCAUCUAUUGUUCUCUCUUACCUGGUCAAUGAAAUCACCAGUUGCAAGCCAAUGAGUACUUCAAAUGUACUCGUAAACAAACAAUGUUUGGAAUGAGGCAACAACAAUACAUGAUAUAGUACUAAGCAGUUAAUUUGCGGAAAGCUAAUUUGAGUGCAAUGCCAUGAUCAAUCAGCUUGUAAGAGCGUGCAUCAACACGUAGACGAUAUACAUACGAUCAGAUAUCAGAUAUCAAUAUCAAUAGAGGGUUGAACAUCCCAUGUUCACCCAUCAUGCCAAGUCAUCUGACUUAGCUCAUCAUUCAUAUUGCCGCCAUACCCCCCCCACACACACACACAAACUUGGUUAAUACGAAAACUCCUGGACGUAGUUUAAGUAGCACCACCCAAAUGUCCUUGGCCAUGGACACGACUAUUCGAGUAGUUUUACACUCUGCGGAGGCUACAAACUUUACCCACAAGAUUCGAGAGAAUCCCGUGUUAGCACAUGACUCACGGUAUUUAUCAUACCCGGGGUAAGUACCCGAACAUCACCUUUCCCAUGACGAUACUAUCAAGGAGUCCACUCGUUGGUGAUAGUCCCUCGUGAUGUACAUCACACGUACCAUCCACGAGGGCACGCAACUGUGUGCUCGAUGUUUGUAAAAACAUCACAUGGUCUCCCUUUAUCUUGUCACGACCCCGUCUCGAGAGUGACCACGUCACUCCUGCCACUAGUAAUGUAGGCUCUCUACUAGCACCGACCAUAGUAAUCAAUAAAGCCCCAUCCCAUAAGGGGUAUUGUGGUCGUACUUGUAAGGUUGGUACGGGUGAGGAAUCUUAAAUCUAAUCCGGUUUUUAGAAAACCCACUCACACAACUGGCCUCGGUAUACAACUCUCUGAUCAAGUGGUUACCUAGAUCAAAAAAUCGCCCUCGAGCAUUAGUGGCACCCGACGGGGUUCUCGUGAAACAUUUGAAAUCACCUCCUUUUACCAUCUCCAUGCAUGCACCCAAUCCCAUGCGUAGCACUACCAACAACCUAACUACUUCGCACUCGUAGAACCCUGAUAGGAAGGUAGGGUCAUUCCUAGGUACAAGUAGCAACGAGGAGUUUCCACAGACAACCCAUUAAGAUGGUCACCAACUCAAUAUGAUUCAAUACAUCAGAACGAAGUGCAAAUUACCAUGCACAAAAGUAGUUUCUCAGACAUGGUCAAAGGGAUGCUUGCCUAGUUCAUCAAAGUCAUCGAGGUCUUCAUGAGCUUCUCGUCCACCCCGAGCGGCUUGCCUACUUCGUCAACAAUAAUCGAAAACAACCACGAUAAGCCACACUACAAGCAGAAACACAAACUGCUCAAUAAAUAGAUGUCUUAUUUUUCUUGGACAUCACUGGUCAUGAGGGAAAUCCCUAAGCUUGUUCUAAGAGAUUUGGAUCACCAUAGAAUUUUGAAUGGUGUAAAAGGAGGAAUUGGUGAUCCUAUAAGAAGUCGACAGAAAGCAUUUUUAUAAAUAGGAGUUGAUGUGCCCACCGAAGAGGGCAUGAUUUUUGAAACAUUUAGGAAGUGGUUUCAUUGGAUUUUGUGUUGGUAUGAAUUCGCUAUGGAUUUACUAAGAUGGAUUAAAUGGAAAUAUGUGCUAAUAAUCUGGCCUACCAGAAAUGAUGUAUGAGAAAAAUCUUCACCUAUGCUAGAAAAAUAGAGAAUGAUUUUAGACUCAUCUAGAAAUUGGAAUCACUCCAUUUGGAGUUGAUUUGGAUGAUGGAUGAAUUUUACAAAGUGGGGUUUGAAUAAAUCAAAUUUGAAUUUGAUCUCUAAAAAAAUGUUUCUGGACAAAUGUGCAAUGCACAUAUUUGAAUAUACCUUGAUUUUAGAAAAUCAUAGAAAUUUGAAUUAGUUAAUUUGGAGCUCAUAUGAUUUUAUUAUGAAUUAUAUGAGCUUUCAAAAAAAGAAAAAAGGGGAAAAGGGGGGGUAUGCCAGAGGACUAUAAGGCGCGAGGGUGCCUAGUAGGCAGCUGGGCCGUCCCAGCGGGUCCAGCCGCGUGCGCAGGAGGCCACGCCAAAGGCACCUUCCUGGAAGAUGAUUUCUUCGUGGGGAGGCACGAUCCAGCGGGAGGUGCGACCACUUAAAUAGGGGGCCCGGAUCUUAGCCACUGAACGGCGAGCCCCACUGUCAGAUCCAUCCCUACCACCCACCAGAGUAGGGAGAGGCAAGGGAGCUCGACCGAGCGCGUGUCGGCGCCCGCCUCGGCUGCUCCAGCCGCCUCCGGUGGAUCUACGGCCACCGUUGGGCCCUGGGGGCGGCCUGCCACACCCGCCAGGGUGUCUCCUGAUCCCGGGGACGGCCGGGGACGACCAUAGCUCCGGCCAUGGCGGAGAGAAGCGACAGCGGAGCUGGGCAUGGAGGAGCGGCCGUCGGGAGGAGGAAAACGGUCCAUGGGGAGGAGGGAGGAGGCAGUGGAGGGUCCAAGCGAGUCUUGGAGGAGAGGAUGGGGUCGGGGAAGCCUGAAUUCGAGCUAGGUCGUGGCGUUGCUAGGGAGGCCAUGGGAGGAGGAGGAGAGGGUGGGAGCCCUGAAGUCUUGACCCACGAGCUGCAUGGGAAAGAGAUGGGUGCAUCGGGGGGGUUGAGGGGGCUUAGGAGAGGAAUAAAGCAGGUGGGGACGAUGUGUGAGCUUGAGAGCACCUCGUGUGGUCUGGGCACGGCGGGACACG
RNAcentral lists this long non-coding RNA (10195 nucleotides) under Hordeum vulgare. RNAcentral describes it as "long non-coding RNA (HVUL_LNC019357)". Lineage: Eukaryota; Viridiplantae; Streptophyta; Magnoliopsida; Poales; Poaceae. The record is from RNAcentral.